GGGCUCUUCCGUGAGUCGAACACGGGACCACUCACAAUCCAGGCGAUUGUAUCCCGAAGCGAGUAUCAUACCACUAGACCAAAGAACU
Molecule: transfer RNA, 88 nt
Filed under: Elsinoe australis
Lineage: Eukaryota; Fungi; Ascomycota; Dothideomycetes; Myriangiales; Elsinoaceae
Description: tRNA-Pro
Source: RNAcentral